GAUUCCAGCCAUACCAGCCUGAAUACGCCUGAUCUCGGAAGUUAAGCAGGAUUGGGCCUGGUGAGUACUUGGAUGGAGACUGCCUGGGAAUACCAGGUGCUGCAAACU
RNAcentral lists this ribosomal RNA (108 nucleotides) under Oncorhynchus tshawytscha (Chinook salmon). The record is from RNAcentral. Lineage: Eukaryota; Metazoa; Chordata; Actinopteri; Salmoniformes; Salmonidae.